Molecule: ribosomal RNA, 465 nt
Filed under: Vreelandella stevensii
Lineage: Bacteria; Pseudomonadati; Pseudomonadota; Gammaproteobacteria; Oceanospirillales; Halomonadaceae
Description: partial 16S ribosomal RNA
Rfam family: Bacterial small subunit ribosomal RNA
Source: RNAcentral
CCUACGGGAGGCUGCAGUGGGGAAUAUUGGACAAUGGGGGGAACCCUGAUCCAGCCAUGCCGCGUGUGUGAAAAAGGCCCUCGGGUUGUAAAGCACUUUCAGUGAGGAAGAACGCCUGGUGGUUAAUACCCAUCAGGAAAGACAUCACUCACAGAAGAAGCACCGGCUAACUCCGUGCCAGCAGCCGCGGUAAUACGGAGGGUGCGAGCGUUAAUCGGAAUUACUGGGCGUAAAGCGCGCGUAGGUGGCUUGAUAAGCCGGUUGUGAAAGCCCCGGGCUCAACCUGGGAACGGCAUCCGGAACUGUCAAGCUAGAGUGCAGGAGAGGAAGGUAGAAUUCCCGGUGUAGCGGUGAAAUGCGUAGAGAUCGGGAGGAAUACCAGUGGCGAAGGCGGCCUUCUGGACUGACACUGACACUGAGGUGCGAAAGCGUGGGUAGCAAACAGGAUUAGAUACCCUUGUAGUC